Molecule: ribosomal RNA, 253 nt
Filed under: uncultured bacterium
Lineage: Bacteria
Description: partial 16S ribosomal RNA
Rfam family: Bacterial small subunit ribosomal RNA
Source: RNAcentral
UACGAACUGUGCGAACGUUAUUCGGAAUCACUGGGCUUACAGGGUGCGUAGGCGGCCAUUUAAGUAGGGUGUGAAAUGCCCCGGCCCAACCGGGGAAUGGCGCUCUAAACUGAAUGGCUUGAGUGAGCUAGGGGUUUGCGGAACUUCCGGUGGAGCGGUGAAAUGUGUUGAUAUCGGAAGGAACGCCGUUGGCGAAAGCGGCAAACUGGGGCUUAACUGACGCUGAGGCACGAAAGCCAGGGGAGCGAACGGG